AUUGAACGCUGGCGGCAUGCCUUACACAUGCAAGUCGGACGAGUGGCGAACGGGUGAGUAACGAAUGGGAACGUACCUGGUAGCGGGGGAUAACUGUCCGAAACGAAAGCUAAUACCGCAUACUAUUAGAGGGGCCGAUGUGUGAUUAGCUGGUUGGCGGGGUAACGGCUCACCAAGGCGACGAUCAGUAGCUGGUCUGAGAGGAUGAUCCGCCACAAUGGGACUGAGAAACGGCCCAGACUCCUACGGUAGGCAGCAGUGGGGAAUUUUGGACGAUGGGCGCAAGCCUGAUGCAGCCAUGCCGCGUGUCUGAAGAAGGCCUUCGGGUUGUAAAGUACUUUCGGUCGCGAGGCGUUACCGACAGAAGAAGCACCGGCUAACUCCGUGCCAGCAGCCGCGGUAAUUC
This 406-nucleotide ribosomal RNA is filed under the name uncultured bacterium. RNAcentral's name for it is "partial 16S ribosomal RNA". It matches the Rfam family "Bacterial small subunit ribosomal RNA", at positions 30 to 526 of the family's 1533-position model. The record is from RNAcentral.